GAUGAACGCUGGCGGCGUGCCUAAUACAUGCAAGUCGAGCGAACAGACGAGGAGCUUGCUCCUCUGACGUUAGCGGCGGACGGGUGAGUAACACGUGGAUAACCUACCUAUAAGACUGGGAUAAAUUCGGGAAACCGGAGCUAAUACCGGAUAAUAUAUUGAACCGCAUGGUUCAAUAGUGAAAGACGGUUUUGCUGUCACUUAUAGAUGGAUCCGCGCCGCAUUAGCUAGUUGGUAAGGUAACGGCUUACCAAGGCAACGAUGCGUAGCCGACCUGAGAGGGUGAUCGGCCACACUGGAACUGAGACACGGUCCAGACUCCUACGGGAGGCAGCAGUAGGGAAUCUUCCGCAAUGGGCGAAAGCCUGACGGAGCAACGCCGCGUGAGUGAUGAAGGUCUUCGGAUCGUAAAACUCUGUUAUUAGGGAAGAACAAAUGUGUAAGUAACUAUGCACGUCUUGACGGUACCUAAUCAGAAAGCCACGGCUAACUACGCG
Molecule: ribosomal RNA, 497 nt
Filed under: uncultured bacterium
Lineage: Bacteria
Description: partial 16S ribosomal RNA
Rfam family: Bacterial small subunit ribosomal RNA
Source: RNAcentral